Molecule: long non-coding RNA, 3335 nt
Organism: Triticum aestivum (bread wheat)
Lineage: Eukaryota; Viridiplantae; Streptophyta; Magnoliopsida; Poales; Poaceae
Exons: 2
Source: RefSeq, a predicted model, not a curated record
CCCACCAAACUUAGUGUACACAAAUUAACCAGCACCCUUGGAUCUAACCCACUUAAUUGUAUCUAAGAGUCUGUAUUACUUCGGUGGUCUGCCAUGAAAACGAAUGGACGAGAUUAAAUGUUUUGCCGGUCUGCCACCAACGUACGGUCUCCACGCAUGCCCACUAAUUCGCUCAAGACCUCAUAACCCCGAACCAACAUCACGUCUCAGUUGCGAAAAAAUAUCACGUCUCCAACUCCAACCAUAGCUCUCCCCUGUCCCCCAGCUGCCACAGAACUCCUCCCUGUUCCCAUCGCCGCCGCCCGCCGCUUCUCCUCUCCUCUGCUACCCCAGGCGCGAGGAACCAACCUCCCGAAGCAAUCGGAGCGGCAAAGCGGCGGAGGAAUGCAGAGAUGGCGUCUGCGAUGACGGGGAAAAAGAUGGGGCGGGCGUCCUACAUCCGGAUCAAGCACGAGGAGGAGCGGCACGAGGCGUCCUGGAAGGAGCCCGAGGGCUGGGUCUUCUCCGCCACCACGCGCACCGAUGUCGCCGCGCGCCUUGGCGAGCUCCGCGACCAGAUCCUCGCCGGUUGCGCCUCUUUCCCGACCUCGCCGCACAGCACUCCGGCUGCUCCUCCGCCCGCCGCGGCGGCGACCUAGGUACGCCUCCACUUGCCCCACUUACGCGCUCUGCAGGCUUUCAUAUAGGGUCUCCGAUCGUGGCGAACCAGAAGCACCAGCCCAGGAAGAGCUCGACAGCGUGGAGAUCCUCCCCAGCCAGUAGUACGUGACCAGCCCGAGAUCCACCGCCGAGCCAAGCACUUCUCCUUUCUUUUUCUUCUUCUGUUACCCAGCCAAAACAAUUUUGUGGAGAACAAUCAUAUCUGGUUAGGAUCCACACAGGAAUCUACAGCACAAAUAAUGGAGGAGCUACUACAAUAGAGGAUGGACCUGUGGUUGCUUCCCAGCUCUUUUCUUCAAAACAAUCUGAGAAAGAGUACAAAGGAAAUUGGAGCAUAUGGAAAAUUGCUCAGGAAUAUCUCCAUCUUAUGCUUAUUUGCUUCGAUGUACAGUGACCUAUAAAAGGGUGAAAACAAUCAGUGAGAUACUUCUCUGGAUGUAGAGCUCUCUGACAUACGCCUAAAAGAUAAAAUUAUAUUUUUUACAUUAUUAUUCUCAAUACUAUAGUUGAACAUUCAUUACCUUGUGGUUCGUACUUGGUCCCAGCCUCCCAAGCAUAAAUCUGAAGUUGUUCUGUAUAGGGGAGUGAAUUGUAUGAGAGUGUGUUUCCAGGCUUAAAUCUGAAAUUGUUGUGUAUACUAUAUGUGCAUGCAGUGUGUAUGGUAGAACCAAUCGAUUUGCAGAAGAUAGCAUGAACCGGAAGGGUAAUAGGUGCCGCCACCGGAAGGCUCGGCAGUGCUAAUCGCCGGAACUACACUACCGGCAGUGCCAUCCAAAUCCUCGGAGACGCUCAAGGUAUAUACAAUGAACACACAAAGGGGUCCACAUGCAAUUAUCUAAUUAUUGGAUGCAUCAGAUUAACGUGCUGAAUGAAUCACAUGUGUAUACUUGAGACAAAUGAAUGUAUUAAUGGUUAGUAAUUUUUUUAUCUAUCCUUUUUACAUGUCCUCGAGGGUGACCAUAGUAGCAUCUUGAGCCCAAAUACAGUCCUGCCAUCUAACGCCGCCUGUAAUUUUUUAGCUACAGGAAUUUGGACCGUCCUGCAAGAAGAAUCAGUUGAGAAGAUUGGACUAUGCUACUUCUAUAAGGCUGAGUAUACACUCUUUGUUGUUAAUUGUAGUGAUAGUUACUAUUAUUGAAUUGCUAAGGUGACAAACUGACAGUUAUUGCUUGACGAACUUACUCUUGUUCAUUACAUUGCAUCCCUCUUACACGGGAAUCAUCAAAUGUUCACACAUAUGUAUGUCCUUUAGUUGUCAUUUUCUCUUUUUUAUUUUUUCUUCCCUUUUUUGUGUGGAUAAUCCAAUUUCUUAUGUUGUCAAUGGAUCUUAAACAUCUUCACUUCUGAUUUCUAUUUCAAACAGACAGUGCAGCUUUGACGGCCUCUUAUUUCAUGCAGACAAGUGUAUUUUGUUCCAUUAGAAAUAUAUAACUAUAUUUUAUUCCUGAGAGAGCAAUCUUAUACGGGAAUAUAGUGUUGUAUUUUGUGCACCCUCAUUUGGCAAGAGUUCAGGUUACUAUUUGUCUCUGUGUGGAAGUUCUCACAUUAGUUCAUGCAGAAUAUGUCUAUAUUUUUACCAAGGGGUUCCAAUGAUUCGAGGACUGCAUAUGUGCAGAUCUAGAAACUCUUUCUUCCCAAGAUGGGCAAUGUGCAGAUCUAGAAAUGGUAUGUCCCCUAUGCGUGUAUGACUGUUGGUGGAGAUGUUCAUACUUUAGGAUCUUUGGUUCCUGAGUUAGUGAGGUGCAUGCUCUCGACCCUGACAUCUACUUACUCUAUUGUCAUCUAUAGUCUGUAUUGUGCUCUGCGCUUAAUGUGCAUUGGGUGCAUAGCAGAACAUGAAUUUCAGAUGCCCUUAUUUGUUUGAUGAAAUGCCUCCUUGAUCUGCAUGCCAGGUAUUAUAGCAUACUGUAUAUGGCUUCUAAGCUCUUUGAAAGUUUAGGACACAAUAGGAAGUCAUAUUACAGCGGUUUCCGAUUAAUAACAAAGCUGAAAGCACAAUCUCUAUUUUUCGAGAACAACAAAAUUGUUUUCUAGAACUGAUAGUUUCUUCGGUAUUUUUUUGUUUGCUUUCUGUUACUUUAUAACUGAAUAUGAAUAUGCAGUUAGCUUAUUUUUCUUUUAUGUGAUAUGUGAGUAAAUAGCAGUUAGCUGCAUGGGUUACCGUGGUUUCAAGCUCAACUUUUGUGUUAUCUAGCUGCAGUGCUAGGACUGGUUGUUUCCCAAAGAGAUGAUAUGACCAUGAGUUUAUGGCCUUUUUGAGCUUGAUGUCUUCUGUAUAAGAGAAAUGAAGUCUUCGGCAUGUACACUGUGUAAACAAUCAUUGGAAAGGCGAGACGAAGAUAAGAGGAGCAUAUAGAAGUUUGUGAUUUGUAUAGGAGGCCUUGUUGGUGAGACUCGGAAUGGGUGCAUAAUGGUCCUGGCUACCGGAGAACUCUUCAAGCUCGUGGUGCGUGCUGUAACUCCCACUGUGGCGCUGUAGUCGAGCCCAUCAAUUCAAAUUCUGAAGAUAACAUGUAGCCUGAAUCCAAGAGGGAACAAAUCCAGUUGUUCCAAGACGCGUUCUUUUUUGUAUAUAUUGUUGACAGUUUGCAUCUCUGCCAUGUUCACUUGGACAAUGCAUAUAUGUAUUACAAGUCCUUCCAAGUUCAUAUAAUAAAUUAGACAUACUUCUGAAA